GAAGACAGAUCAAAAUGGCAAGAUAGUCAGACACAAAGCCAGAUUGGUAGCCAGAGGUUUUGCACAGGUACCAGGUGAAGACUAUCACGAGACCUGUUCACCCACAGUGAGAUAUGAAAGCAUUAGGCUUAUGCUUAAGCUAGCUGCAGAGGAAAAUCUACACAUUAGUCACCAUGAUAUUAAUACAGCUUUUCUGUACGGAUCUCUAGAUGAAUCACUUUAUAUGCUUCCACCUGAUGGCGUACAGAUAAAACAGGGAUUUGUUUGUGCUCUGAAGAAAUCCCUUUAUGGUCUCAAACAAAGUGCACGGUGUUGGCACACAAAACUCACUGAAGUAUUGUUUUCUCUAGGUUUUCAGCAAGGGAAAGCUGAUCCAUGUGUAUUUGUCAAGAGGAGGGGCAAAAGAAACUGUACUGUUUGUUUUAUGUUGAUGAUUUAUUAUUCUUUUGGAAAGAUGUCGCAAUGUACAAUAGCGCCCUAGCUCAACUGAAAGAGCACUUUGACAUGAAAGAUCUUGGUGAGGUAAACAACUACCUAUCUCUGGAAAUAGAGAGAGAUCAAGAUGGUAACAUUCUAGUACACCAGUCACGGAAAAUUGCUGAUGUGUUAAGCAAACUAAAUCUGAUGGAUGCUAACCCUGUAGACACACCGAUGACAACAGGUUAUCAGGUAGAUGACACUGAAAAAGCAUUUUCUGACACUUACACUGUACAGGAGUGUGCUAGGCAAGCUAAACUUCAUUGCCAGAUGUUCAAGACCAGACAUUGCUGUUAGCUGUAAUUUGCUAAGCAGACAAGUCAACAAUCCUAGUGUCAAGGAUUGGAAAGCUCUGAAACGCAUAGCGCGGUAUUUGAAAGGCACUAUGCAUUACAGACUGAGAUUUAACAAUCAGAAGUCUGGUGGUCUUGAGAUAUUUGCAGAUGCAAGUUUUGGAAGUGACGCUACAGACAGGAAAAGUACGUCUGGAGUUUGCUACAUGUACAAUCAGAGUCUGUUUGAUUGGUCAUGCAAGAAGCAAACAACAGUUAGCUUAAGUACUUGUGAAGCUGAACUGAAUGCACUGUCUUAUUCACUUAAGGAUUGUGAAUGGUUAGUACAAUUGUGCAAAGAUAUGAAAAUUCCUGUCAAAUGUCCAAUCCAGGUUUACCAGGACAACAAAGCAUGUUUGGCUUUGCUGAAGUCUGAAGGUUGUAAGCAAAGCACAAAGCACUUGCAAUUAAAGUUGCAGCAUGCUAGGGAAUGUAUUCAGAAGGGACUCGUAACGGUGUCCUAUAUGCCAGGUAAUGAAAUUCCUGCUGAUGUAUUGUCCAAGAUUGUAUCAAGGGAUCAACACUGUACCUAUGUGCAGAAGUUGGGUUUGUACUGAUAUUGUACGAAACACGCUGCCCAGUGAUGUUCACAGAAAGGGGAGGAUGUUGGUUUCUGCUUUCCUUCACUGUGCAGCUUUGCUUGUCAUGAGACAGGUAUUUACAUUCCACAGUCUGUACUGUUGGAGUUUCUCACGGGAAAGGGAGACUGGAUGUGACGUACACUGGUUUCCUGUUUUUCACUGUGUGAUUCUCUCCAGGCUGUCGAGGAGAGAGGAUGCAUUUUCUGCUCUUGCAGAGGCAAGAUGUCUUUCUGUAAUAUACCAGCUUUGAACUGUAAAUAAAGCAAUAUAGAGUAUGUAGCACGUAUCGUCAUCCUUCCGCUGGGCACGACAGACUCUGCUUUAAAUCAACACUUCUGGC
RNAcentral lists this long non-coding RNA (1730 nucleotides) under Podarcis lilfordi (Lilford's wall lizard). Lineage: Eukaryota; Metazoa; Chordata; Lepidosauria; Squamata; Lacertidae. The record is from RNAcentral.